Molecule: long non-coding RNA, 752 nt
Organism: Alexandromys fortis (reed vole)
Lineage: Eukaryota; Metazoa; Chordata; Mammalia; Rodentia; Cricetidae
Exons: 3
Source: RefSeq, a predicted model, not a curated record
CUGGUUGGGUCAGGGCAUGCUGCAAACUGCCCCGUAAUUGCAAGUCCCUGUAAUAAUGCUUUUCUUGGCCAGGACACAAACCACACUCGAGAAGGUCUUCCUGAGUGCUGAAGGUCAAUCAACUAGAACUUUCUCAAGCUUUUAGAGGAGUGGAUUCUGGAAACAAAUCUGCUUCCCCAGGAACAACUAUCCUCAGGAGGUCAGGCUCUCUAGGGAACAGCCCCGAGAUGAGGAGACAAGUACAAGAUGUAUUGAGGAAUCGCUCUCAAAAGGCAGCUGGCACGGAGCAGGACAGGAACGGGGCGAAGAGCGAGGCUCUGGAGUGCCGUCAAGCCUUCACUGCAGCCCACGGUGAAGCCUCGCGCUUGACUCUGCCUGUGACUCUAUUCCUAUUCCAGUCAGACGGACUCAUCCAUCAAGGACCUGGCACAGGGUGGGGUCAGCGCCCGAGAAUCUCCAGCUUCCUCCAGCUGCCCAGGAACAGGCUUCUGGAAGGUUCCAUGUGAGAAAGUGCACUUCACCAGGGCAGUGGCCACAGGAGGAGCUCAGCAACACAGCACAGGUCUAGGGUGUACAAGGUCCCGUAUCAAGAUCCAGCACAAAACUAGCAAAGAAGCCUCUUGGUCAGCAGAUGUGGUGAGCACCCUGAUUCUCGGCAGCUCUGCAGACCCCCUUUGUCUUGUACUCAGUCUGUGCAUUUCUUCAGGGGGCAGUCCUUCAGUUACAGCCUUUCAGUAAAUGAAUGUCAAUAA